GGAUAUUUUUGCUCUUGCAACGAUGAAGAACGCAGCGAAAUGCGAUACGUUAUGUGAAUUGCAGAAUUCCGCGAAUCAUCGAGUCUUUGAACGCAACUUGCGCCCGAGGCUUGUCCGAGGGCAUUUCCGCUAGAGCGUCACC
RNAcentral lists this ribosomal RNA (142 nucleotides) under Sematophyllum subfulvum. RNAcentral describes it as "partial 5.8S ribosomal RNA". It matches the Rfam family "5.8S ribosomal RNA". Rfam says of the family: 5.8S ribosomal RNA (5.8S rRNA) is a component of the large subunit of the eukaryotic ribosome. It is transcribed by RNA polymerase I as part of the 45S precursor that also contains 18S and 28S rRNA. Functionally, it is thought that 5.8S rRNA may be involved in ribosome translocation. Lineage: Eukaryota; Viridiplantae; Streptophyta; Bryopsida; Hypnales; Sematophyllaceae. The record is from RNAcentral.